RNAcentral lists this long non-coding RNA (1717 nucleotides) under Pogona vitticeps (central bearded dragon). RNAcentral's name for it is "lncRNA (ENSPVIG00000020655.1)". Lineage: Eukaryota; Metazoa; Chordata; Lepidosauria; Squamata; Agamidae. The record is from RNAcentral.
CCCGCCUAUCUAGUCACCCCUCAGUGCCUGGAUCAAAAGUAGCAUCAUAGUUAAUGUAGUAAGAAUAGGACUUUACAGAGUUUAUCGUGUUGUUACUGCCUGUGUACCGCAAUUACUAUUUAAAAUGUCUCAAAACCAAUUAGUCAAUUUAAAGUGUCCAUCAUUAUAUGGUCCCACAGAUUCAAGCAGGAUAGAGCAUCACUCAAAAUAAGAAGAUGAAAUGGCACGCCUGAAACAUCAGGAAGAAGAAAAGGGAAACUCAAGCAACCCCAAGAAGCCAGACAAAAAAGAGAAAGACACAAGCAACCCCAAGAAGCCAGACAAAAAAGUGAAAGCUAUUAUUUUCACAGAUUCAAGCAACCCCAAGAAGCCAGACAAAAAAGAGAAAGUGAACAAAGACAAAGAAACAAGUAAACGUAAUGCUGGGACAAGUACUCUCACAUCUGUGACUUUGGUCCUAUUUAUUCUUGCAACUAUGAUGUUCUUUAUGUACAUGACAUUACAGAGGCGAGAGCAAAACUUUCAAACUGCAAUAGAUAUGAUGAGGACAUUCUCUGUUAAGUAUGAUCCAACUUUUCAAACAAAGACUGAUCUUGAAGUAAUUGAAUUAAGUCAAAACCUAUCAAACAGACUGGCCUACUGGACUGAAAAAAACAGAAUACUGCAAGAAGAAAUUGACAAAGUUACUGAAUUGCUUGAGGAAUGGGUGCCAUACAAAAAGAACUUCUACUACUUUUCUGAAGAAGAAGCAGACUGGGAACAUUCCAUAGAAGAGUGUAUAGAGAAAGACUCUGAACUUAUCUCUAUUAUUUACGGUGAGGAAGAGGCCUUUAUAGACCAAGAGACAGCUCGUUUGGGAUAUGGGUACUGGAUUGGGCUCCAAAAGAACAGAAGUGCACCUCAUGGCUUGUUAUGGAUUAAUAACGAAGAGGUUCGAAGACCAUACUGGAAUAUUGACGCUAAACAGCCCAAUAUUGAUGGUGAUUGCAUUUACGUAGUACCAAAAUGCAGAAUUAAAAAAUGUUGGCAUGAUGAUCUCUGCAAUAGGGAAAGAAGGUUUAUUUGCAAAAAGGUUGCCAGGCCAGUAGAUUCUUUUAGAUGAACAGAACAGGAGUCUACUAUCUCAGCGCUGAAAUCACCUGAUGAUGACACCUGAAAGCAAGUUCAUCCUGUCCUAAUCAAUCAAGUGAGUGAACUAGCAGUUAAUUUGAAGUGCCUACCAAUAUCGGUGCUCCUGCUUCGUACUUCUGGUGUUAUUGCCACUGGUCAAAAGAACCACUGUGAUGUUGCCAAUGAAGGUUUGCCAGAUGUAAGCAUAAUUGAGUGGUCUCUUCAUCUCUCAUGACAGGGAAAGAGCAGCAGAGCCAUUCUUCAGUCAGCUGUUGGGGCUAGAGAUGUGUUGAGAAGUGAUACCUCUUCCCCUGGUGAUAUGAAAGAAGAAUUUGCAGAAAUGCCUGUAGACUUCUAUGAAGCGACUCUCAUCUCACUAUGGGUUCACCAUUGUGAGAAAAGAAGACUGAGGGGAAAUAUAAUAGCACUUUUCAAAUACUUGAAAGGCUGUCAUAAAGAGGAGGGGCAGGAUCUGUUCUCAAUCAUCCCAGAGUGCAGAACACAUAAUACUGGGAUCAAGUACAAGAAACCAGAUUUACGUUGAAUAUCAGGAAAAACUUCCGACUGUAUUCCCCGAAAAUAAGACAGAGUCUUAUAUUAAUUUUUG